UACGGGGGGGGCAAGCGUUGUUCGGAAUUACUGGGCGUAAAGGGUGCGUAGGCGGUUCGCUAAGUCAGACGUGAAAUCCCUCAGCUUAACUGGGGAACUGCGUCUGAUACUGGAUGGCUUGAGUUUGGGAGAGGGAUGCGGAAUUCCAGGUGUAGCGGUGAAAUGCGUAGAUAUCUGGAGGAACACCGGUGGCGAAGGCGGGUCUCUGGGCCGAUACUGACGCUGAGGAGCGAAAGCGUGGGGAGCGAACAGG
RNAcentral lists this ribosomal RNA (253 nucleotides) under uncultured bacterium. RNAcentral describes it as "partial 16S ribosomal RNA". It matches the Rfam family "Bacterial small subunit ribosomal RNA", at positions 524 to 776 of the family's 1533-position model. The record is from RNAcentral.